Coregonus clupeaformis (lake whitefish) is the source of this 465-nucleotide long non-coding RNA. RefSeq lists it as uncharacterized. The transcript has 3 exons. The record is from RefSeq and is a predicted model, not a curated record. Lineage: Eukaryota; Metazoa; Chordata; Actinopteri; Salmoniformes; Salmonidae.
UGUAUCACAUUGAGCUAGCAAUAAAAAAAAAGAGAGGCGCGAACAGCUCUUCUCCCUGUGUGAUCACUAAAUAAUGCAAUGGCGUCAUUUCAGCUAAACCCAGGGAAUGGCAAAGUGGGAUGAGGUGGAGUGGGGGUGAUUUCAAAGCCUCCAAGGAAUUUUGGAUGCAGACAUGAAGACAUUCAAGCAGCACUUUUAAAGCAAGCAUCUUACAUCUCCAAUGGUCCACCACACUCAAAUGGGCCUAAAGCUGGGACACAGGAUGACCACGAUUUGAAUGCUGCAAGUGAGACGGAAUGACUUCGAGGGACAUACGCUGACUGGACACGGGCCGGAUAUUUGUGACAACGACCUAAAAGAGGCACACCAGCGCCCCUUUUUAUGUUUUAUUCCAUGGACAACAAUCUCUCUAGCUACCCCUUAUUCCACACUAUGCCUUUUAUGCCCCAUAGUCCCUCAAGUUUU